This is a long non-coding RNA of Vombatus ursinus (common wombat), 1711 nucleotides long. RefSeq lists it as uncharacterized. The transcript has 4 exons. NCBI's taxonomy places the organism in Eukaryota, Metazoa, Chordata, Mammalia, Diprotodontia, Vombatidae. The record is from RefSeq and is a predicted model, not a curated record.
CUUAAGAGCCUACCAUAUGCCAGGCACUGUACGAGCGCACGAAUGAAACAAACAGGCCCCUGUCCUCAAGGUGCUUACAAUCUAAUGAAACACCCCCCCCCCCCCCCCCCCUACACUUGUUCACUUUGGUUCCCUGCAACCCAGCGCCCUCUGCUGGGCAAGUUCUUCUCCCAUCACCCCCGGGGCCUAGAUCCCUUUCCCAGCUCCGUUCCUUUUCUUUCUGGUGGAGUGAGGGAGACUGGGUAAGUGCCCUAUCUGCUUAGUUCAGUUCAGUUCAGUUGGUUGUUUAUUAAACAUGGCUGAGUGGCUAGUAGAUAGACGAGUGUACCUGGAGAUAGGAAGUCCCGAGUUCAAAUUCCUCCGAAGAAGCUUCCUAGUCAAGUGCAUCACUUCACUUCUGGCUGCCCCAGUUUCCUCAUCUAUAACAUGGGAAUAAUAGCUGCUACUUAAGAAGUUCUUGUGAGGAUCAAAUGAGGUAACACAUGUCAAGCACUUUGCCAACCACAAGAGUUGUAUAAACGCUAGCAGCUAUGUGCAAAGCACCCAAUAUCACUGGCACUGGGGUCCCAACAGCCUUUCUUUCCUUUCUGCCAGGAUUUUUGCAUAGAUUCUAUAAAGAGCAUGGCAGAAGGGGAUCAUGCCGGAAGCCAAGAAAGGGUGAAGUUUUUCAAACUUGUGACCCUCUCUGAAUUGACUGAAAUAGAAAAACCACGAAGAAAGGCUCUCAAAGCAUGGUUCAUGCUUGUGUGGCCUAGCUUCAAGAUAGGGUGGUUUCACCUACUCCAGGAUUAUCUGUCUUGGGCUGCAUAUCCACUGUUACUUACUGAAGGAUAAUUUAAUGGACAGAGCACUGAAUUUGAAUUCCUGACUUGUCAUUUGCUACUUAUGUGAUCUGCAGCUAGAAAUGGCCUAUGCUCUGGAACCAAACCUGCAAUAUCUCUGAGAAAGAAGAAAAGAACCUUGUAACAAAUAAGUAUACUCAAGUGGAAGAAAUCUACAGAGUGCUUCUGUCUAAAAAUAUGUCUAUUUCUUCACCUUCAGUCCAUCAUGUCUCUGUCAGGAGUAUACAAAAUGCAUGAUGGAGGGGCCCUUUCUCGCCCUGCUUCAGAGUUUGUGUAGAUGUCGUCUAUUCCUUGCCAGUUUACUACAUGGUGAGUACAAACUUUUUAAUUGGCUGCUGAGCUGGAACCGAGUUCAUGAAAAAAUGUGUGAAGAAAUGAACUCUGUUUUCUCUUCCCUAGCAGCAAGUGAAGCAUGAACUGCUUCGAGCAUCCUGGGGGGAUCUCCUUCCCCAGCUUGGUUGCCGUGUGGCCGUGAACACACAGCCCUGCUGUUUUUCUGUCUCUGGUGUAUUGAUUCUUUCCUGAGCUUAGGUGAAUGAGCACCAGAGACAGAGCAGGCCAGGCUUCAGAAUGUUGGGAGAGCCAGCAGAGGCCCAGCAACUGGAGUCUACAACAGAGUUUACCAGUUGUCACAGCAGCUGAGUCCAGUGAGAAGCCAGACCUGGUGAAUGACCUGCUGGAUCCAGCCUUGCAGUCAAGAUACCAUGUUCUACAAGCAAGAGAACAACAAUGUGUCCAUUGCCUGUGCCCUAGCCAGAACUGCACUUGGUGGAAUGUUUUAUAGUAACCACCAUUUUAAGUUUGAGUUCCCUUCUUGUUGUUCAAGUCAUUUCAGCUGUGUCCUACUCUUCAUAACCCUAUUUGGUGUU